RNAcentral lists this ribosomal RNA (492 nucleotides) under uncultured bacterium. Its description in RNAcentral is "partial 16S ribosomal RNA". It matches the Rfam family "Bacterial small subunit ribosomal RNA", at positions 29 to 507 of the family's 1533-position model. The record is from RNAcentral.
AGUGAACGCUGGCGGUAGGCCUAACACAUGCAAGUCGAACGGCAGCACAGUAAGAGCUUGCUCUUACGGGUGGCGAGUGGCGGACGGGUGAGGAAUACAUCGGAAUCUACUUUUUCGUGGGGGAUAACGUAGGGAAACUUACGCUAAUACCGCAUACGACCUACGGGUGAAAGCAGGGGAUCUUCGGACCUUGCGCGAUUGAAUGAGCCGAUGUCGGAUUAGCUAGUUGGCGGGGUAAAGGCCCACCAAGGCGACGAUCCGUAGCUGGUCUGAGAGGAUGAUCAGCCCCACUUGAACUUGGGCACGGUCCCGACUCCUACCGGAGGGCGGAGGGGGGGAUAUUGGGCAAUUGGCGGAAGCCUUAUCCAAGCCUACCGCGUGGGGUAAGGAGGCCUUCCGGUUUUUAAGCCCUUUUGUUGGGAAAGAAAAGCAGCAGGUUAAUACCCCGCUGUUCUGACGGUACCCAAAGAAUAAGCACCGGCUAACUUCGUG